Molecule: ribosomal RNA, 443 nt
Filed under: uncultured bacterium
Lineage: Bacteria
Description: partial 16S ribosomal RNA
Rfam family: Bacterial small subunit ribosomal RNA
Source: RNAcentral
CCUACGGGGGGCAGCAGUGGGGAAUAUUGGGCAAUGGGCGCAAGCCUGACCCAGCAACGCCGCGUGAAGGAAGAAGGCUUUCGGGUUGUAAACUUCUUUUCUCAGGGACGAAGAAAGUGACGGUACAUGAGGAAUAAGCCACGGCUAACUACGUGCCAGCAGCCGCGGUAAUACGUAGGUGGCAAGCGUUAUCCGGAUUUACUGGGUGUAAAGGGCGAGUAGGCGGGAAAGCAAGUCAGAUGUGAAAACCAUGGGCUCAACCUGUGGCCUGCAUUUGAAACUGUUUUUCUUGAGUACUGGAGAGGCAGACGGAAUGCCUAGUGUAGCGGUGAAAUGCAUAGAUAGUAGGAGGAACACCAGUGGCGAAGGCGGUCUGCUGGACAGCAACUGACGCUGAGGCGCGAAAGCGUGGGGAGCAAACAGGAUUAGAUACCCCUGUAGUC